CGCCUUGUUAGGUAUUUUCUGUGUGCGAAUAAGAACAAACUUAUAUAUAUAAUAACUGAACUAUAACUAAAUGGUGUAAAAUGGUUAAAACCUUUUGAAACAUUUACAUGAAUUUGACUGUGUAUUGAAGUUGCAAAAGUUGAAAUGGUCAAAUAACACCUUUCCCAUUUGUCAGGUAAAUAAAUACGCACAACAGGAAGCCUUAAGCUUCUCAAAAUAACCACCAGAUCGUUGGACAAAGGUUCAGUCAUUUUGUACACACUAGUGCUUAUCAGUGCGUCAACAAGCAGCCGUGGUACAACAGGAAAGGACCAAGUUUGCAUAUCGGGGAAAACAAAACAUAUAAAAACAAAACACAUAAGCGGGAAGCAGAGAUAGUUGGAGGCGGUGGGGAGAAGACAAAGUGAGUAAGAAAGCAAUCGGGAGAGUUAAAGAGAAAGUAAAAAAUACAGAGAGAGGUGAGCUGGAGAGUGAGUCGGGUGGUUAAUUUUUCCCGCCACCUCAUGAGUGGCAAUGACAUCACAGCUGAUUUUUCUUCUUAGUCUGCUUCUACCGCGCCACCACUUCAGCGCUACGGAGAGGCCGAGCUGCUACUGGCCGUGGUCUUUAGGGCUGAGGAGCUGCUUCUUUAAGUCGUCAAUAACUCAGAGCGAGACUUUUUUUUCGAGCGGAUUAAUCACAGCUCAGAUUUUUUCAGAUCGGUUGCUCUCCAUCAUGAAUAGACUGAAGGGCAGCUGCAGUUGCCGGAUGAACAGAUUUAGUUGUAGCAAAGCCUUUGGCAUUUUCCCCCCGAGGAAACUUUGUUCUCUAGAGAACAGGAAAAUGACACUACAGCCAAGCAAAUAUCACACAUGAAGAAGAGCAUCGCGUCCACCCCGGCCAACCCACAUAUUUACUCAUAUUGUCAAUUUCUCUACAUUUUCUGACUGUGUCCAACGUUCAUGCAAAAGGAAACAGAGGUCUAACAGCAGUGCCAGGUGGUGGAGCAUUUUAUAGGUAGGUCCAUCCAACCAAUUUUUAGAAAACAUCCCAGUGGGAUGCAAUGCAACAAUUAUGGUAUCAAAAACACAAAAAAGCAGCAUAUAACAGUGUGACUUGUGUCACCCUCACAGACAAUUGAGUAUAAUAUAAUAAUACAUAUAUCAUAUGGGCAGGUGCUUCAUGUCCCUCACUCUUGUAACGUGCGGGACCUGUCACCUCCUGCCUGUAUCGGGUGUGUUUGUGUGUGUGUGUGUGUGUGUGAGUGUAGUAGGGACGUGGCUCCAAACUGAGCUCCUCUAGACUCCCUGCACAGGCAACCAAGCUGGCUUCAAUCCACUGAUCAAACUGCAGUAAAUCUACUCCGGUUCUUCAGCCACUUGUUGCCAGUUCAUUGUUUCAACCCACCUGGCGGUGACUGUGCUCGGCUGCUCUGCAGAAGAGCUUUUUCAGAGACAUAGAUUCAUUGUUUUUUGCCUUUCCUCUGACCCUGUCUUUGUGUUCUCGCAGUCAUCCAUCCUCCCGGUUCCCCAGUCUGUCUGCCGUUCCCAGACUCUCGCCAUCGCUGUUUCCUUGGCAAUAAAUAACUUCCGCCUGUCUUCCUGUCUGUCUGCAUUCGGGUCCGCCACCACCUAUUGUCAUAUUGUUAUAUCUUGAAUCAGCAAUUGGCUAAACCGCUUCACAGACCCGCCUCCUGUGGGGCCGUUACUCUGUGGGCAGACAGGUGGAGAGGAUGCGCACGAAAAGCAUUUAUUUUGGGGCAGAUGACUUGUCUUAGUUAAGAUGCUCCAGCUGCUCCAUUUCCCCCUAUUAGCCAGCCUAACAAUCAUGACAGGAGAGGUUUACGCUCUGCUCAGUGUCUGAUUGGCUGCGGAAAUUCAAAUUGUGACCUGUUUUUUUUCUUUUUUUUUUUCUUUUGACUCAAACCGAACCACUUCACUAGAAUAAAAUGCGGAGCAAGCUAAGAGAGUGGUCUGGAUGUGGAUCUGGUCUAUCAUGUGACUAUUGAUUGACAAUGUGAAGCCUGUGUUUAGCUGUUACUGUCCUGCCGGUUUGAACACACAGUGACUGUGCUGCGCUGCUGGCCCUCGAUAUCUAGCGGAGGCGAUCUGGCCUUGAGUGGGCAGAGCAGUGGAAAUAAUCUGUGCGACUGUGAAGGUGUGUAAUUAAGUUACUAUAAAGCACACACAAAGAAAACUUCAAGGCUAAACGACAACUCAGACGAGCUGUGGUAGAAGCGAAGCAAAUAACGAGUGAAUACCAGAUAAUGGAUUGAAAACAGACUUCCAAUAUCUCAAAGUUUAUUUUAUUGCCCCACAGCGUUCACAAAUACUGAAAGAUUCAAACAAACCAGAAGAGACACCCUCCCGCAGCAGAGCUCAUAUGUAUGACGACAACCUCCAGACGCACUCAGACAAGCGAGAUAAAAGUCACACAGACUUUAAUUUCCCAGCAUCUCUUUCAUUGUUUUACAGUUUUCUGAGGGAUGUCGAAUCAAACAAUAGCUUUUUACUACGUGUUUGAACCCGGUGCACCGCGAGCGUGUUUGUGAGAAACUCUAUCGUAAAAAAAGGGAUACGGACGGAAAAAACUAAGAGAGCGAGCAAAGUUUCAACUGAUGUCUUCCAGUUGUGUGACCUCUCUCUCCUUCCCCGUCUUUUUUCUGUCUUUCUGCCUCUCUCGGUUUAAUAGGGCCAGCUGUAGAGUCUGGUACUCUAGGGAAACGCAGUAGAGUGUGGCUGGAGCUGAGGCUGAAUGAGGCUGAAAUUGGGGCUGGUGGUGAUGGUGGUGGGGGGUGCGAGUUGGGGGGGCGAGCACUUCCGACCAUUUUCCCCAUGAAAUGCAGCAUGAAGUCUGGAGCGUUGGCAGGCCGCCGCCGACUCUCUUCCCCUCGUCUUCAUUCCCUCCCGCCUUCGUUUCCUCCUUUUUUCCAUCCUACCUUUCUCCCACGCCCUUUUAUUCCUUUACCUUUUCUUCUUCCUGCUGUCCUUCUUUGCUUUUGGUAGUGACCCCCCCUCCCGACGUCUGCUCAGUGGCACUAUAACAAGUCCAGGAAGUCCUGUCCUUUUUCUAUCACUUUCGAUGGAAGCUAAAAACCGACGGUCCGAGGACUACGGUGAAUAGCUCGGGUCCUUGGAGCCCCUCUCUCCUCUAGACGCCUACGUUGUGGUUCCGUAUCGGGUCCAGGUCUGCUUCCGAGUUUUGACAGGUCCCUGACCCGAGCCAGAGCGGUUCAGCUUGGUUGGGGCUGUGUGUGUGUGUGUGUGUGUGUGUGUGUGUGUGUGUGUGUGUGUGUAAAUGUGCAUGGUCUUUGUCUUCGUGUGUGUGUGUGAGUGAGGUUGGACCUGGCUAAGUUGGUGGGUGUUUUUCAUCAGACUAAUGAAUAAUACGUCUGAGCUGUGAGGAGAGUAUCAAGCGGGAGGAGAAAAGGGGGGCCGGAGGAGGAGGGGGUGUAAUGACUAUCAGAUGGGGCUCUACUACUGUGCUGCUGCUGCUGCGUCCUUAAAGGAGAACACCACUCAACUUAUUAAUUCACAUGUGUGAUUAUUAUUCUCUGGAAGUGCGCAACCGUCGUCAAACAGGGCAGAGGCUGAGAGUGAAACGUGCGAUCGCCACGUGAAGCCUGGUGCAAACGACAGCAGAGUUACUUCAGUCCUGUGGACUGAUUGGCUCUUUGGUCAUAACCUGAGUUGGGAAACGCACUUCAUGAGAAAGCAGCUUUAAUAGAUUUCUACUAACCAGAAGGGAGGAGCUCCAUCCGCAGCUGCAGCUGAGGAGAAGCGGCCAGUGGGUCAGCGGACGCGUGGGGGCGAAGCUCUGCAGAGGAGACUUUCAUCAGUGUUUUUACAGACUACCGGGGUCACGUCAAGGAACGUGCAUGCAACAUGGUUAUGAAUAACACAAUUGUACCCGCGCACAGUUCAUUGAAAAUGAUGAUUCUGUACUGGGCCAGAGACAGGCAGUCAACUGGUUCCACUCGGGGAGAUACAUGGUGAGAACUGGUUCCACUGGUUGAGAGAUGUGAUGAUGACUGGUACCACUGGGAAAGCGAUAUGGUGAGGACUGGUACCAUUGGGAAAGAGACAUGGUGAUAACUGGUACCACUGGGAAAGCGAUAUGGUGAUGACUUGUACCACUGGGAAAGGUACAUGGUGAUGACUGGUACCACUGGGAAAGAGACAUGGUGAUGACUUGUACCACUGGGAAAGCGAUAUGGUGAUGACUGGUACCACUGGGAAAGCGAUAUGGUGAUGACUGGUACCACUGGGAAAGAGACAUGGUGAUGACUGGUACCACUGGGAAAGCGAUAUGGUGAUGACUGGUACCACUGGGAAAGCGAUAUGGUGAUGACUGGUACCACUGGGAAAGCGAUAUGAUGAGGACUGGUACCACUGGGAAAGCGAUAUGAUGAGGACUGGUACCAUUGGGUGAGGGACGUGGUGAGAACUGGUUCCACUGUGAUUUGAGACACAGAGGUAUUAGACUUGGAGCAGAUUGUUGAGGACUUUUCAUGGAGGACGUUGUCCAUACGAAUAAUUUACAACAAACCACUUUGUUGCGGCAACAAUCAAAGUCCGUCCCACAUGCUGUGUGAAAGAUGUGUAGUCUCUACUUUGCUAUAUCAUGUGUGCUAUUGGCUGCAGUGGAGAAUAUAUAGUUAUUCAUAUGUCCAGGGUGUCUGCUUUUUUGAUGUUUUAUUCAACAGUUGAUUUUAAGAGUUCUGUGCCUUGUCUUUCUUGUUAUACACUGUCUCAAUGUUACAUUGUAAAUCACUUUAAUGCCAUUACAAGCUUUAUAUAAGUUUCUCAAAUGACCUGUUACUGACAACAAGCGCUCCAUUGGAGGCAGAUCCGAGAUAAUAAAAUCCAGAGUCUGUGUUCUUGACUUGGGUCAACACUUUAUUUAGUCUUAAUGUAACUAUUAAUGUGCUGAAAUGUAGCUUGUCCUUUUCAUUCAACAUUCUUUGGGCAAAAACAACCAUGUGCGAUCGCAAAAAGAACUAAAGUCCACAAUAUACCCAGUCAAAUGUUCUCUGGCCUGCGGGCAACAAUUGAGAGAGAAUUGGAUACUGUGUUAGAAAAGCCACACGCUCACAGGGAGAUGCAAAUCACAGUAAGAUCAUGCUAAUGCAUGUAAUGACGGACCACAGUGAGUGAGGCUGGUUGGGAAAUACACCUCCGGAGCAGUCUCACACAUACGUUCAGUCAGACCAAACACACGUCUGAUAGUCAUUAAUCAAGACAUUUAGGUUUAGAUUUGCUUGCUGUUUUACUGUUAGUCGAUAUUUUAGGAAGACCCAUACCUGAAUAUUUCUCAUGAUGAAUAUUGUAUAAAGUUUCAUCAUUUCUGGACUGUCUUUAAAUCGAAACAAAAGGCAGACUACACACCACAAGAGGAAGUGCUUGAUAUUUUUUGCUGAAUUUGAAUUAUUUAGUAUUCUGACUUUUAUACCUCGAAGCAGAUUCAAAAGGGAAUCGGAAACAAACCACACGUUGCCAGGAUUUUCUCCCUUUGCAAGAGCGAUGAGCUGUUGGAGUGGACUGCAGUGUUAGCUCUUGAAAGAGUUUGUUUUCAUUGGGUGAUUUGGUUCUUUUUCAAUCAAUUUCUUUUCACGUCCAAAACCAACACAACUCUUAACUAAAAUUGAUACGUGCUGUUGGGUCUCUGACGAAGGUGUCGGAAUCUGAUACAUGCUGAAGGUCACCGCAGAGGAUCCAGGGCGCUAGCUGCGCGUGGGCAGGGCUCUUUCAUGAGUGACAUUAUGUAGUUGCAGUCUGAGUUUCACAUGUUCACAUUUGACAGCCAGGCCAUUUUUCUAAAACAGAUUUGAUAUCCAGUGACAGGAUGUGUCCAAUGAGAACUGGAGGAGAGUGGAAAACUAUAAAGCAAACCAUGAAAUGUAAAACGCUUUCCUCCAUUGUAUUCAAUAUCUGUGAGAGUUUUCCAGCAGUUGUUAUUUGAAGGGAAUUUAUUGAGAAUCUGAAUGUCCUAAACUGCAUGCAGCAACGCAGCACCAGCAAAUUGCCUAGUUUGAUUGCACCUUUGUGAGGGGGGGGAACUGUCUGCCAAAUAGUGGAUUAAGAUGUUGACAGGGCAGGAGUAUCGUGAUGGACUGCUUGGUAAGUUUGUGUCCGUACACAGACAUGCUGAUGAGUACUGUCUCAUGCGGUCGGGGGUAAAGUCAGCGGAUUGUUAGGAUGUCGGUCGAAACAAAGAUCAAGUCUGUCUGCUGGACUGCUCAACCGAUUUUACUGCAUUAUCAAACUGCAUUAUCUGAAACAGAAAAAAAGAGAGAUAAAUUGCAAUAUGUGUCAUCAGAAUGCUCAGGGUCAGUGCAAAUUGUUUAAAAUUGCAACGGCAUUGUAUUAUUACUUAAGUGUCGUGAUAAUAUCGUAUCGCAGGCCCCUGGUGAUUCCCACCACGACUGGCAACCCUUUGCCGUUCUGGUUUUCUUCCUAUACUAACUGAGGAAAUUCAGUGUGUCCCCAUCCUGACUGCUCCAAGCGGGCGGCUCUGGCCUUUCUCCCUUCUGUGAAAAGCACAGCAUAAACACACCAUGACUGUGAUUGAUGGGUAGAUAUAGAUACAAAGAGGAAACGAGGAGAAAGAAAUAUGGACAGAGAGUCUGAUGAAUGCUGUCUGUAACAUUGUGUAACUGUGACAGAUUAUUCUUCGUCCUAUUCAUUUUUAGCAGCGGUUUACGGUUGCCAAUCUACACAAAGGAGGCAUACCAGCAGUGGCAGUUGGGUUUAGAGUUUCACUGAUGCACUACGGAGGAUUAUGGGUUUCAUAGUUGAUUUUUUUCAUAGGUUGUCAACCUUUAACCACUGCACAGUUGAAGCGGGAAACACAAUUCAAAGUUCAGAACGUUUCUUGGAUCUAAGAGUUAAGUUACACAAUUGUGUCUAAUAAAACCCUUUUUUACUUAGGAGGGAAAAUCUGAUUAGAGUCUAAUGAGAGCUGUAAAAAGGAUUUGGUAAAAUCCAAAGGGAGCACGUGAUCUUCUAUCAUUCAUGUGUAGCUGGAUAGAUGGAUCUCUGACAUGUUAUUCUGUUUUCUCCGUUCCUCCCUCUGUCUCUGCUCCCUUUGCUGCCGGGUCUCAUAUUUUCUUCUCUUUCAGAGGAAGACAGAUUGUAAAAAAGAGUGUAUGUGAGUAAAGUAGCGGCUCCCCGACUAUAAACCCCCGAGCCUCCCCUUCAUCACCAAAACAACUCCACCCAAAAGUCUGAAUCCCUUGAGGGCGAAUGACAUUCAGACCCUCCAGCGGCCCAGCUCGCACAGAGAAAAGGCUUCGGCUGUGGCUGCAUAAACCGCGAGCCCAGCCUGAAGCGUGCGGUGUUGCGGCUCGCUGCGACCCCCCCCCUCCUUCCCCCAGCCUUCCAGCCUUCCAGUCCAGGGACAAACACGACACCGACCGCGAGGAGGCCGGGGGAGGAAGACGCGGGGAGAAAGGCAAACUCUUACUUCACCACUCAAGCUUCUCGGCUUCUUGCUGUCCAGAAAGCAGUUAAUCAAAAACAUCCGAUCCCAGCGAGUCCUACCUCCUGCAGGGCGCCUGCUCAGGCAAACAAGCUACCCACAGAAUACAAAACAAAUCUCAACGAGAGUCAGUGAAUAAAGAUUUUGGGAAAAUGCUUCAAAAUUACAGACAUACUUUGUGGAUAAACAAGAUAAGAGGAUGGGUUGGAUCAACUUUAACUGGGUAAAGGACAUGACCCUGUUGUCCUGUUGCAGCUCGCUAAUCAAAAAUGGUUUGCAAGCGACCUCUUGUGAUCUCAACUGCUCGGGAGCUGCUAUAAAGAGCUGCAGAAAAUUGAGAGACCUGACUUAGAAAACAGUGAUCGGAAUUGCACGAUGCAAAUGGAGACUUUGUCGUCACUAUGUGUCCAUGCAGAUACAGAAACAAGUCUAGAAAAUAACUAGAAAAUACAAAGAAAAGUCACCAACAGGAGGCAGACUCUUUUUUCUCUUCAGAACGAAUCCAGAAAUCUAAAAUCAACAACUCUGAACAGGUAGCAUUCGCACAAAGAGAAAACUAACCAAGUUAGAAUCAGUGUUGUCUCAGACAGAUCAUGCCAUUUUUUUCAGAUUCAAAAGCAUUGUAUGUGUGUGUUUGUUGCUUCCGAGGACACCCACUAAACAAAACGUGUAUUCAACCCUCUUAUUGAAAGCAAUAUGUGUGUCAGAAGCCCGCGUGGUCACAAAGGUCACCGAACACACUUAGCAGGCGGGGGUCACGCAAAGCUGCUCCGGGGUGAAUUUCCCCAGAAACCAAAUCAGCGUGCAGCCAAAACAAACUCCGGCUGAUGGUUCGCCUCCUGCCUCCGGUCUCCCUGGCCUGCUUCUAGACAGCAGCCGAGGGACCCUCGGCUGCUCAGAGGGAGGAGCGGAGAGGAGACCCGCGGCCCUCCCACCGGCUAUAAGACCAGAGGCAGACGGAAACAUUCAGACAGCAGGCACACGUGGAGCAAAGAGCCCGAGAGA
Long non-coding RNA from Gasterosteus aculeatus aculeatus (three-spined stickleback), 8463 nucleotides. Lineage: Eukaryota; Metazoa; Chordata; Actinopteri; Perciformes; Gasterosteidae. The record is from Ensembl.